UCUACGGGAGGCAGCAGUGGGGAAUAUUGCACAAUGGGGGAAACCCUGACGCAGCGACGCCGCGUGAAGGAUGAAGUAUUUCGGUAUGUAAACUUCUAUCAGCAGGGAAGAAAAUGACGGUACCUGACUAAGAAGCCCCGGCUAACUACGUGCCAGCAGCCGCGGUAAUA
RNAcentral lists this ribosomal RNA (170 nucleotides) under uncultured bacterium. RNAcentral's name for it is "partial 16S ribosomal RNA". It matches the Rfam family "Bacterial small subunit ribosomal RNA", at positions 338 to 525 of the family's 1533-position model. RNAcentral also lists the same sequence under 1 other name. The record is from RNAcentral.